CCCCUAGAUGUUCUGGGCCGCACGCGCGCUACACUGAACAGUUCAACAAGUCUUAACCUUGGCCGAUAGGUCUGGGUAAUCUUUGAACGCUGUUCGUGAUUGGGAUAGACCUUUGCAAUUAUGGGUCUUCAACGAGGAAUUCCUAGUAAACGCAAGUCAUCAGCUUGCAUUGAUUACGUCCCUGCCCUUUGUACACACCGCCCGUCGCACCUACCGAUUGAAUGGUCCGGUGAAAUCUCGGGACGGCGGCUUGGUCGCUUGCGUCCGACUGCUGAAACUUAAUUAAACCAUAUCAUUUAGAGGAAGGUGAAGUCGUANCA
RNAcentral lists this ribosomal RNA (320 nucleotides) under uncultured eukaryote. Its description in RNAcentral is "partial 18S ribosomal RNA". It matches the Rfam family "Eukaryotic small subunit ribosomal RNA", at positions 1470 to 1796 of the family's 1831-position model. The record is from RNAcentral.